AUUGAACGCUGGCGGUAUGCUUUACACAUGCAAGUCGAACGGUAACAGGCCGCAAGGUGCUGACGAGUGGCGAACGGGUGAGUAAUGCAUCGGAACGUGCCCAGUCGUGGGGGAUAACUACUCGAAAGAGUAGCUAAUACCGCAUACGAUCUAUGGAUGAAAGCGGGGGACCGUAAGGCCUCGCGCGAUUGGAGCGGCCGAUGUCAGAUUAGGUAGUUGGUGGGGUAAAGGCUCACCAAGCCAACGAUCUGUAGCUGGUCUGAGAGGACGACCAGCCACACUGGGACUGAGACACGGCCCAGACUCCUACGGGAGGCAGCAGUGGGGAAUUUUGGACAAUGGGCGCAAGCCUGAUCCAGCAAUGCCGCGUGCAGGAAGAAGGCCUUCGGGUUGUAAACUGCUUUUGUACGGAACGAAACGGCUCUGGUUAAUACCCGGGGCUAAUGACGGUACCGAAAGAAUAAGCACCGGCUAACUACGUG
This 482-nucleotide ribosomal RNA is filed under the name uncultured bacterium. RNAcentral describes it as "partial 16S ribosomal RNA". It matches the Rfam family "Bacterial small subunit ribosomal RNA", at positions 30 to 507 of the family's 1533-position model. The record is from RNAcentral.